RNAcentral lists this ribosomal RNA (277 nucleotides) under uncultured prokaryote. RNAcentral's name for it is "partial 16S ribosomal RNA". It matches the Rfam family "Bacterial small subunit ribosomal RNA", at positions 524 to 800 of the family's 1533-position model. The record is from RNAcentral.
UACGAAGGGUGCAAGCGUUAAUCGGAAUUACUGGGCGUAAAGCGCGCGUAGGUGGUUCGUUAAGUUAGGAGUGAAAGCCCCGGGCUCAACCUGGGAAUUGCUUCUAAAACUGGCGAGCUAGAGUAUGGUAGAGGGUGGUGGAAUUUCCUGUGUAGCGGUGAAAUGCGUAGAUAUAGGAAGGAACAUCAGUGGCGAAGGCGACCACCUGGAUUGAUACUGACACUGAGGUGCGAAAGCGUGGGGAGCAAACAGGAUUAGAUACCCGCGUAGUCCCUGA